AGUGGCAGCCAAUCUUGAGGGAGCCAAGAGAACCCUAGAGCGCUCACUGAGGCACUGACACUAAUUCGCAUGGCACUGAUACGAAGAGGAAGCAUAUUGAUUCUCCUUCUUGUCGUUGCUAUGACAAAAUACACAGCAAAAGCAACUUAAAGAAGACAGAAAGUGUUUAUUUUGACCCAUCCUUUGAGCUGGUACCAUCCAUCAAGGCAGGGAAAGCACAGCAGCUGGAGUGUGAGAGGUGCUCCAGAGAGAGUCUCUGCCAACCUCUUAGCCAUCAGUGAGCAAUGGGGACCAUCACUGUGCAGGAUCCACCUUGGAAGGGCCCAUUCAGUUGAACCUCCAGUGAAUUCCAACCCCUGCCACCACUUCACCAGUCUCACAGAACCCUGGACUGCACUGACUCGUGCUAAGACUCCACAUCUGACAGUUUGCCCAAAGGAAAAGAAAGGUUCAAAGACAAA
Mus caroli (Ryukyu mouse) is the source of this 461-nucleotide long non-coding RNA. RefSeq lists it as uncharacterized. The record is from RefSeq and is a predicted model, not a curated record. NCBI's taxonomy places the organism in Eukaryota, Metazoa, Chordata, Mammalia, Rodentia, Muridae.